UACAGAGGUCUCAAGCGUUGUUCGGAUUCAUUGGGCGUAAAGGGUGCGUAGGUGGCGCGGUAAGUCGGGUGUGAAAUCUCGGGGCUUAACUCCGAAACUGCAUUCGAUACUGCCGUGCUUGAGGACUGGAGAGGAGACUGGAAUUUACGGUGUAGCAGUGAAAUGCGUAGAUAUCGUAAGGAAGACCAGUGGCGAAGGCGGGUCUCUGGACAGUUCCUGACACUGAGGCACGAAGGCCAGGGGAGCAAACGGG
This 253-nucleotide ribosomal RNA is filed under the name uncultured bacterium. RNAcentral's name for it is "partial 16S ribosomal RNA". It matches the Rfam family "Bacterial small subunit ribosomal RNA", at positions 524 to 776 of the family's 1533-position model. The record is from RNAcentral.